GACGAACGCUGGCGGCGUGCCUAAUACAUGCAAGUCGAGCGAGAUCCAUCCGGUAGCAAUACCGGUGAAGAUCUAGCGGCGAACGGGUGAGUAACACGUGAGAAACCUGCCCCGAAGACCGGGAUAACCCGAGGAAACUCGGGCUAAUACCGGAUACCCCCACCAGGUCGCAUGGCCAGGUGAGGAAAUGCCCCGGUGCUUUGGGAGGGUCUCGCGGCCUAUCAGCUAGUUGGUGAGGUAACGGCUCACCAAGGCAUCGACGGGUAGCUGGUCUGAGAGGACGAUCAGCCACACUGGGACUGAGACACGGCCCAGACUCCUACGGGAGGCAGCAGUAGGGAAUCUUGCGCAAUGGGCGAAAGCCUGACGCAGCAACGCCGCGUGGGGGAUGAAGGCUCUCGGGUCGUAAACCCCUUUCAGGAGGGACGAAAAUGACGGUACCUCCAGAAGAAGCCCCGGCCAACUACGUG
RNAcentral lists this ribosomal RNA (470 nucleotides) under uncultured bacterium. RNAcentral describes it as "bacterial SSU rRNA". It matches the Rfam family "Bacterial small subunit ribosomal RNA", at positions 28 to 507 of the family's 1533-position model. The record is from RNAcentral.